RNAcentral lists this microRNA precursor (67 nucleotides) under Glycine max (soybean). Its description in RNAcentral is "miR10427b stem-loop (gma-MIR10427b)". Lineage: Eukaryota; Viridiplantae; Streptophyta; Magnoliopsida; Fabales; Fabaceae. The record is from miRBase by way of RNAcentral.
CAAGAGGCUCCAAGAGAAUUGGGCUAGAGCUGAUAAAGAAGGCCCUAGGGUUCUCUGAACCUCAGGG